This 643-nucleotide ribosomal RNA is filed under the name uncultured Lachnospiraceae bacterium. Its description in RNAcentral is "bacterial SSU rRNA". It matches the Rfam family "Bacterial small subunit ribosomal RNA", at positions 71 to 725 of the family's 1533-position model. Lineage: Bacteria; Bacillati; Bacillota; Clostridia; Lachnospirales; Lachnospiraceae. The record is from RNAcentral.
UUUCUUCGGAAAUGAAGAUUUUGUGACUGAGUGGCGGACGGGUGAGUAACGCGUGGGUAACCUGCCUCAUACAGGGGGAUAACAGUUGGAAACGACUGCUAAUACCGCAUAAGCGCACAGGAUCGCAUGAUCCGGUGUGAAAAACUCCGGUGGUAUGGGAUGGACCCGCGUCUGAUUAGCCAGUUGGCAGGGUAACGGCCUACCAAAGCGACGAUCAGUAGCCGACCUGAGAGGGUGACCGGCCACAUUGGGACUGAGACACGGCCCAAACUCCUACGGGAGGCAGCAGUGGGGAAUAUUGCACAAUGGGGGAAACCCUGAUGCAGCGACGCCGCGUGAGCGAAGAAGUAUUUCGGUAUGUAAAGCUCUAUCAGCAGGGAAGAAGAAUGACGGUACCUGACUAAGAAGCACCGGCUAAAUACGUGCCAGCAGCCGCGGUAAUACGUAUGGUGCAAGCGUUAUCCGGAUUUACUGGGUGUAAAGGGAGCGCAGGCGGUGCGGCAAGUCUGAUGUGAAAGCCCGGGGCUCAACCCCGGUACUGCAUUGGAAACUGUCGUACUAGAGUGUCGGAGGGGUAAGUGGAAUUCCUAGUGUAGCGGUGAAAUGCGUAGAUAUUAGGAGGAACACCAGUGGCGAAGGCGGC